GCUGCCGGCCAUAGGGCGCGGGAACCACCCGAACCCAUUCCGAACUCGGAAGUUAAACCGCGCUCCGUCCCUAGCGGUAGUGCAGUCUUCGGCUGCGCGAAGCUAGGGAAGCCGGCAGCC
Candidatus Bathyarchaeota archaeon B63 is the source of this 120-nucleotide non-coding RNA. NCBI's taxonomy places the organism in Archaea, Thermoproteati, Candidatus Bathyarchaeota. The record is from Rfam.